AGUGAACGCUGGCGGUAGGCCUAACACAUGCAAGUCGAACGGCAGCACAGUAAGAGCUUGCUCUUACGGGUGGCGAGUGGCGGACGGGUGAGGAAUACAUCGGAAUCUACUUUUUCGUGGGGGAUAACGUAGGGAAACUUACGCUAAUACCGCAUACGACCUACGGGUGAAAGCAGGGGAUCUUCGGACCUUGCGCGAUUGAAUGGGCCGAUGUCGGAUUAGCUAGUUGGCGGGGUAAAGGCCCACCAAGGCGACGAUCCGUAGCUGGUCUGAGAGGAUGAUCAGCCACACUGGAACUGAGACACGGUCCAGACUCCUACGGGAGGCAGCAGUGGGGAAUAUUGACAAAGGGCGCAAGCCUGAUCCAGCCAUACCGCGUGGGUGAAGAAGGCCUUCGGGUUGUAAAGCCCUUUUGUUGGGAAAGAAAAGCAGCAGGUUAAUACCCCGCUGUUCUGACGGUACCCAAAGAAUAAGCACCGGCUAACUUCGUG
This 491-nucleotide ribosomal RNA is filed under the name uncultured bacterium. Its description in RNAcentral is "partial 16S ribosomal RNA". It matches the Rfam family "Bacterial small subunit ribosomal RNA", at positions 29 to 507 of the family's 1533-position model. The record is from RNAcentral.